RNAcentral lists this ribosomal RNA (253 nucleotides) under uncultured bacterium. RNAcentral describes it as "partial 16S ribosomal RNA". It matches the Rfam family "Bacterial small subunit ribosomal RNA", at positions 524 to 776 of the family's 1533-position model. The record is from RNAcentral.
UACGUAGGUGGCAAGCGUUGUCCGGAUUUAUUGGGUUUAAAGGGUACGUAGGCGGUCGCGCAAGUCGGAUGUGAAAUCUUAGGGCUCAACCCUGAAACUGCAUUCGAUACUGGGCGGCUAGAGUCUGGUAGGGGGAUCUGGAAUUCCUGGUGUAGCGGUGGAAUGCGCAGAUAUCAGGAGGAACACCGGUGGCGAAGGCGGCCUGCUGGGCAGUGGCUGACGCUGAGGCGCGACAGCGUGGGGAGCAAACAGG